GCCUAUAGCUCAGUGGUAGAGCCCCCGGCUCAUAACCGGUUGGUCCUAGGUUCGAAUCCUAGUAGGCC
Molecule: transfer RNA, 68 nt
Filed under: fish gut metagenome
Rfam family: tRNA
About the family: Transfer RNA (tRNA) molecules are approximately 80 nucleotides in length. Their secondary structure includes four short double-helical elements and three loops (D, anti-codon, and T loops).
Source: RNAcentral